GUCAGUCUUGGUAUCGACAUUAUAACUGAAACACUAAAAAAAGUUAUAAUUAGUUUUAUAUUUUAUUUAAAUCCCCUGUGUGACCUAAGCAAGCAAUGGAAAAUUGGAAGUUGAUUAGCAGUAAUAUUAAACAGAUCGAAGACAGAGUAAGUUGUUGGAACAGGACUUUUUAGGUGAAUUUGGAAGUGGAUCAUCGAGACUUAGGCGAAUAAAGUAAAUUAGCUGCAGUGAGGAAAGGAAGAUUAGUUUAAUCAAAUUAUCAUCUUCUUAAAUUUCUUCAUUCGGUAUAAUAAAAUAAAUAUGUCCGCGCAUUUGUUAAUAUCGGCACUAAAUUAAUAUGAAUAGGUAGUUAAUAAGUAGCAAGCAUAAUAUUUAAGGUCGACAACAAAUGAUAGGAAAAUCUGUAUAUUAUACAUACCUUAAACGCCAAUGCCAAAUGUGUUGGACAAAAACGUCCUGGAUUCCUACACCAGACUAUAAUAAAAAGUUAUUAGUGGAAAAUAUAUUUACAAAAGCGAUAAA
Long non-coding RNA from Dendroctonus ponderosae (mountain pine beetle), 522 nucleotides. RefSeq lists it as uncharacterized. The record is from RefSeq and is a predicted model, not a curated record. The transcript has 2 exons. Lineage: Eukaryota; Metazoa; Arthropoda; Insecta; Coleoptera; Curculionidae.